GACGAACGCUGGCGGCGUGCCUAAUACAUGCAAGUAGAACGCACAGUUUAUACCGUAGCUUGCUACACCAUAGACUGUGAGUUGCGAACGGGUGAGUAACGCGUAGGUAACCUGCCUGGUAGCGGGGGAUAACUAUUGGAAACGAUAGCUAAUACCGCAUAAUAUUAAUUAUUGCAUGAUAAUUAAUUGAAAGGUGCAAUUGCACCACUACCAGAUGGACCUGCGUUGUAUUAGCUAGUAGGUGAGGUAACGGCUCACCUAGGCGACGAUACAUAGCCGACCGGAGAGGGUGAUCGGCCACACUGGGACUGAGACACGGCCCAGACUCCUACGGGAGGCAGCAGUAGGGAAUCUUCGGCAAUGGACGAAAGUCUGACCGAGCAACGCCGCGUGAGUGAAGAAGGUUUUCGGAUCGUAAAGCUCUGUUGUAAGAGAAGAAAGGGUGUGAGAGUGGAAAGUUCACACUGUGACGGUAUCUUACCAGAAAGGGACGGCUAACUACGUG
This 505-nucleotide ribosomal RNA is filed under the name uncultured bacterium. RNAcentral describes it as "partial 16S ribosomal RNA". It matches the Rfam family "Bacterial small subunit ribosomal RNA", at positions 28 to 507 of the family's 1533-position model. The record is from RNAcentral.